Long non-coding RNA from Xenopus tropicalis (tropical clawed frog), 1517 nucleotides. RefSeq lists it as uncharacterized. The record is from RefSeq and is a predicted model, not a curated record. Lineage: Eukaryota; Metazoa; Chordata; Amphibia; Anura; Pipidae. The transcript is spliced from 3 exons.
AGUAUUAGUGGUUGUAUAUAUAGUUUAUGUAUAGAUUGGUAAGUAUAGGCUGUGUGUGCUAGGUUAACACACAGCCUUGAACUUGAUGGACUCAAUGAUGGUCUUGAUGGUCUUUUUUCAAUCUAUGUAACCAUGUAAGCUGUGUGGUAAAUCCAUAAAAAUGCACUGUGUGGCAAAUACAAGUUGAAAUGCCUAUGGGUACAAAGCCUUAAUCCUUUAGGCUUAUAUAGGGAAUGUCUUGAGCAGCCUUAAUGUGGUUACACAAAGGAAGAGGAAGAAUUCUGUAUUCUCAGUGCUGUGACAGCAUUCUAGUUAGUUAAGUUAGUUUUUUUGGCUAAGGAUGUAGAUGUUUUAAAGAUAAAUAAUUCUGGUUUCAGGUUCUGGAAUACUCCAGGUAAGUACUAUUUAAUCCUAUUAAGUAAAUUAAAAGCAGAUUUCUUUUCUUUUUUUCAGAGAAAAAUUAUGCUCCUAGGACAGGUUUACUGUGGACAGGGCCGUGACUAGGGGAAGAUAGCAUGGCUCCUGCCUCAGAUGCACGCUCACUGGGCAGAUGGAGACUGCUUGCAUUACCAUACUGCAGAAUCCCCAGAAUAUGAAAAUGCUGAAUUCUUUGUGUCUGUGUCUGUACACCACAGUGUUUGCCGAAGCAAACGUCUCACCUUAAGAUAAAGCAGUCCUACCCCCCUUCACUUUUCAUGCAGCAUCGAGUGAUGGAAACUGGCCUGGCUCUGUUACCAAGGAAACCGCACAGGAGACUGGCUGUUGCCGUGGAAACCAGGAAAGAGCUGAUAUCCAUGACCCAAAAUAAGACAAGAGAAAAACUGCAGAAAAUGAAGGGACUUGAGUACUGAUUCUACUUCUAGGUCAGGGCUAUCCAACUGGAGGCCUGUGGCUGGAUGCGGCCCUCCAAAGAUAUUUAUGGCCCCCAAGUCUGCUUUAAGGCUCCAUAGACUUCACUGUAUGACAUUGUCAUUUUAAUGUAAUCCAGCCCUCUAACAUGUUCUAUGAAAAUUAUCGGCCCACUACUUGUGAUAAAUUAUUGUUAGUAUAGCACUGGUCACCAAUGAUAUAACAUCUAAAAGUAACUUGGGUAGCACACUGUCUUCUUUAGCUUAGUCACCAACUAUAGGUCUUGCUAGUUUUAUCUUGCAAAAUAACAUCAUUAUUGGGUACUGGGCACCAUCAAAUACAUGAAGGUUUUAACAUGAUAUUGUAACCAUAUACCCUUUGUUACAAUCCUGUAAUGGCCCUGAAUACUGCAAUUAUUAUGUAUUAGCAAUAGCUCUAUACCACUGCAAUCAGUGUUUGUUUUUUUCAUCAUCAAAAGAUCCCAGCAGACUGCUAAUUUUACUCUCUUACCUCCUACCAUGAAUAUGACAGACCUUAUAGCCUUACCCAGAAUGCAUCUAUCUUACAGAAUGUUAUAGUAGAGCCAUGGUGUUUUUACUAUGGGUACUAAUAUCCUUAUUUACUUUACUUACUCUCCCUCCCUCUCUGUGCCUUUCACACUCACCUUA